This is a non-coding RNA of Triticum aestivum (bread wheat), 115 nucleotides long. NCBI's taxonomy places the organism in Eukaryota, Viridiplantae, Streptophyta, Magnoliopsida, Poales, Poaceae. The record is from Rfam.
CUCCUACUCCCUCUGUCCCAAAAUUCUUGUCGGGGAAAUGGAUGUAUCUAGACGUAUUUUAGUUCUAGACACAUCCAUUUUUCCGACAAGUAAUUCCGGACGGAGGGAGUACAAA